Molecule: long non-coding RNA, 247 nt
Filed under: Vitis vinifera (wine grape)
Lineage: Eukaryota; Viridiplantae; Streptophyta; Magnoliopsida; Vitales; Vitaceae
Description: long non-coding RNA (VVIN_LNC008267)
Source: RNAcentral
AUUGAUUUCCGAACCGAUUUGCCGCCAGUGUUGGUCGUCGUAGUCGUCCUCUUGCCAAUCGCCACAUUGGUUUGGUUGUCGCUUCAUGGGUUCACAUUUCCCUUCGAUAGUCAAUGCAGCCACCAUUUGCGUGAGGUUGCAAAGAGGCUCGUCAAUCCUGUCGAGUCAUUGCUCGAUUUUUUCGAACUGUCGUUGUCAUCGAUGGUUCGUUUUCCACUAGAACCAUCGUUAACUAUCAGAUCGAGGU